This 2966-nucleotide long non-coding RNA is filed under the name Homo sapiens (human). RNAcentral describes it as "uncharacterized LOC107986192 (LOC107986192)". Lineage: Eukaryota; Metazoa; Chordata; Mammalia; Primates; Hominidae. The record is from RNAcentral.
ACCAGAAAGAGCUGGCCUCUGGGGUCUGCGCUGCCCCUUGGGGUCCGCUCCAGGCGGCGCCUCCCCUGCGCCCUUUGUGUGCACGCCGCAAACCCCUCUGCAGAGCUCUACUUUUGGCGGCACAGCCUUCGGCGGAAAAGCGAGUGAAAGGAGGCGCGCGGGACAAGCAGGAGACUGGAAGGGGGGAAAAGGCAACCGCACUCACUUUGGCAAGGUUCCGUCAUGUUGCCUUUGGGCUGUCCCGUGGACUCGUCCCUCACCCCAGCUUCCCCGCCCAGCCAGGGCCAGGGCGAGGGGGGACGGGGGAGGAGCGGAGCCAUCAAGACCGACUUGGAAAUGGUGCUUCCGGAGCUGCAGGGAAGGGGCUCAGAAACUGUUUGGGUUUUGCUGAUUGGAUUUUGGGGAACCAGAGGGCUAGAGAGGGGCUAGGGGAAGGCCCGUGAGCACGGAUGUAUGAAAAUAAUCAUGUUCCCGGGGAAUACCAAGAGGGUCGGGGGUGAGGGUGGGAGGUCGGCAAGUACAUUUUUGUAUUUGAACUUUGUGAGCAAGUUGUAUCAAAUCCGACACUUGAGUUUUUCGACUGUGCUCGCUUAGAGUUGAGGUUUCUACCUCGUAACAGGACCGAGGACCUACUUCAAAAGCAAAGGGCCUGGGAACAGGGGUGAACGAAGGGCACAAUUCAACAGGGGAGAGAAAUCAGCCCCGGGUCUUCCGUGGGUCCUCUUCUUACCUGGUGGCUUUUCUAACAAAGUAUGAGAAGGUAAAGUCCCAGUGAUCGUCCAGCCAUGCUUCGACCGAGUCCUGAUCCCUCUGCUGCUGCUUCUGCUGCUGGGGCUGCUGCUGCUGUCGCUGCUGCCCGAAGCUGGGGCCGGCCCGCUCCAUGGUUGGCACCGCGCGCCUCGGAGGCUCUCUGGUACUGCUUUUCCACCCCAGCUGGGGUCCGUCCCUCAGAAGAACAGGACUCGGCCUCGAGACCCUCCCCCUUCGUCCUGCUCCAGUCGGGCCGGCUUUCGACAAAGCGGCCGGAGCGCCAGGCCAGCCUCCUGCCCCGCCCCGCCCCGCGCGGUUCUACGGGCGCCCAGGUGUGGUGGGCGGGGCCAGGCGCAGCUGCUGCGCCCCCCCCACCCGGGGUCCGGCAGUGUUCCGCUCUCGCAGGCUCUUCAGUCCCCUGGUUCCCAGGAGGCGGCGGCGGCGGCGGCAGCGGCAGCGCCCGGCGAGCUCUCCGGAAGCCAAGUGGCGGCGGCUGGAAGGAGGCCGCGCGGCCGCUGGGGUGCGCUGUGUGCCAAGCCGACUUCUGGGGAGCGCGCUAGGUGACUGGGUGUGUUCUCAGAGUGCCCCAGGGAGGGAAGGUCGCGAUGUGGGAAGUUUUGCCCGAAAGUAAGAGAUGAUGAGACCCUGGGCCCUUUUCCUGGGGCCUGGGAGUGCAAUGACCUUCCCGCCUAGCUUUUCCCUAGCCCUACGCUUGGGUCUGGGAGGAGCGGGACCGACCUCCUUCAGAGCCCAGCCCGCUCAGUGACUUAAAGCGGUCCAGCCACGGACCACUGCGGGUGGAGAGAGCUGGGGCGUGUGCUAGCAAGAGAGAUUUGCAGGUGUAGGUGGGUAACUUGCAACAAAGCCAUACCCGUGCUUAAUGUUAAUGAUAACAGCAAUAAUUAUAACUUAAGUGCCUUUAACCAUUGCCUCAAACUUCCCUUAUGCAUAACUGGAAAAAGAUUUACUUGGAAAAGAAAAAGCAAACAAAUAAUUUCCAAUGCUUUGUGCAUGAAGUUAGAAAACAAGGGCACCUCUGUACAAUUAGGUUAAUCCGAGAGCACUGGCGCAACCCAGGUGCAGUCGAGGGCAACCAGUUAUCCCAAUUUUAAAUUAAUGCAUCAUUUUAAUUAAAUUGGAAUUAACACUCCCUCAAAAGUAUCCAUUAAAAAUGGCUCAGCCUUUUUGUCCAAUCCCUAUCUUGCUUCUUUAAAAAAGGAAUUGGUGUCAUCCUUUGCUUUGUCUGCAUCCCCAUCUUCCUGUCAUGCAUUGGCAGUUUUAAUAUGGCAUUUUGCAAUGACCUAUAUUUUUUGGUAGAAUUAAAUCUGGAAUUAUGGGUUGCACAAUGUGUGAAUGACACCAUUAGCAGUGAUAUAAAAAAAAAUGAGUUAGCUGAUAUACUUCUGACAACUUCCUUCUAAAUACUCUUGGCAAGAAUUUAAGGCAUUAUUCACUACAUAGAAACACAUCAUUAAAUUGAUAAUCUGAGAACUUUUAAAAGUAUCUUCUAGUCCCCCAAUGCAAUGGUUUAUCUUUCCUUCAUUGAGUAAUUGACCUUUUGCGACUUCAGUUUUUCUGAAACUUUACUGCUGUAUGCAGGUAGCCACAACCAAAGAAAAGCAAUCAAAGCAGUAGAGUAUGAACUAAUGGGUGAUAAAUUAUAUUGGAUUUAGAAAUGAGAAUUCUCUCCUAAUGUGUUACUAUGAUAGUGAUUAUAGUGCUCAUGGAAUACAGUCAUGCGUCACCGAACAACAGGAUACAUUCUGAGAAAUGUAUCCUUAGGCAAUUUCAUCCUUCUCUGAACAUCACAGUGUACUAACACAAAAUAGAUGGCUCAGCCUACUACACACUUAGGCUAUUGCUCCUAGACCACAAAUCUAUACAGCAUAUUACUGUACUGAAUACUGUAGGCAAUUGUAAUGCAAUGAUAUUUGUGUGUCUAAACAUAUCUAAACAUAGAAAAGGUACAGUAAAAAUAUAGUAUUAUCUUAUGGGACUCAUAUAUGUGGUCUGUCGUUGACUGAAAAGUGGCACAUUACUGUGGAAAGUUUCUCCUCAGUACAGUUUUUUCUUGUGGAAAUCCAUGCAUUCCUCCUAACAGGAGAUCAAUCGUAAUUUAAAACUCUGCUUAUCUACUAAAGAUGCAGUGAAUUUGGGGCUUGAAUUAUUUGCUUUUGUUGGAUACUUGAUUAAAUAAACACGUAUAAUCAUUUCAA